This 29-nucleotide non-coding RNA is filed under the name Mus musculus (house mouse). The record is from RNAcentral. Lineage: Eukaryota; Metazoa; Chordata; Mammalia; Rodentia; Muridae.
UGUUGGAUCAGGUUGACUGCCCGUCUCUC